GAGCGGCGAACGGGUGAGUAACACGUGAGUAACCUGCCCCUGACUCUGGGAUAAGCCCGGGAAACUGGGUCUAAUACCGGAUACGACACCUCCCGGCAUCGGGUGGGUGUGGAAAGUUUUUUCGGUUGGGGAUGGACUCGCGGCCUAUCAGCUUGUUGGUGGGGUAACGGCCUACCAAGGCGACGACGGGUAGCCGGCCUGAGAGGGCGACCGGCCACACUGGGACUGAGACACGGCCCAGACUCCUACGGGAGGCAGCAGUGGGGAAUAUUGCGCAAUGGGCGAAAGCCUGACGCAGCGACGCCGCGUGGGGGAUGACGGCCUUCGGGUUGUAAACCUCUUUCAGCAGGGACGAAGUUGACGUGUACCUGCAGAAGAAGCGCCGGCUAACUACGUGCCAGCAGCCGCGGUAAUACGUAGGGCGCAAGCGUUGUCCGGAAUUAUUGGGCGUAAAGAGCUCGUAGGUGGCUUGUCACGUCGGGUGUGAAAGCUUGGGGCUUAACUCCAGGUCUGCAUUCGAUACGGGCCUGGCUANAAGGUAGGUAGGGGNAGAACGGAAUUCCU
RNAcentral lists this ribosomal RNA (564 nucleotides) under Streptosporangium sp. 316F08. Its description in RNAcentral is "bacterial SSU rRNA". It matches the Rfam family "Bacterial small subunit ribosomal RNA", at positions 93 to 671 of the family's 1533-position model. Lineage: Bacteria; Bacillati; Actinomycetota; Actinomycetes; Streptosporangiales; Streptosporangiaceae. The record is from RNAcentral.